RNAcentral lists this ribosomal RNA (274 nucleotides) under uncultured bacterium. RNAcentral's name for it is "partial 16S ribosomal RNA". It matches the Rfam family "Bacterial small subunit ribosomal RNA", at positions 523 to 796 of the family's 1533-position model. The record is from RNAcentral.
AUACGAAGGGGGCUAGCGUUGUUCGGAUUUACUGGGCGUAAAGCGCACGUAGGCGGAUUGAUAAGUUAGGGGUGAAAUCCCGAGGCUCAACCUCGGAACUGCCUCUAAUACUGUCAAUCUCGAGACCGGAAGAGGUGAGUGGAACUCCUAGUGUAGAGGUGGAAUUCGUAGAUAUUAGGAAGAACACCAGUGGCGAAGGCGGCUCACUGGUCCGGUACUGACGCUGAGGUGCGAAAGCGUGGGGAGCGAACCGGAUUAGAUACCCUAGUAGUCC